GCAGACAUGAAUCGUGUGCUCGUGUGCGUGCUGACGGCUGCUUUGAGUCUCGGAAACGGUCAGCAAACGGUGCACCAGCCGGCGGGCGAUGUCCACGCUGUGGAGGGCGCAAGGGUGACGCUGGACUGCAGCUUCGGCAGUACACGGAGCGACGACUUCAUCUUCUGGUACAAACAGCAAGUGAACGCAGCACCCGAGUUCGUUCUGAGCAACUCAAAGUUCAGUCGGGGCAAGACGGAGAAGAAGUACGCCGACAGGUUUCGCGCCAGCAUGGACGCCAGCGCCCUGCAAGCUCCUCUGCAUAUCGAGAGCGUGAAGCUGAGCGACUCGGCAGUCUACUACUGCGCCCUGCAGCCCACGCUGACACAUCCGCUGGCGUGCCUACACAAAAACACCUGCACGCGCCUCGUGCCACCAUACGUUGGGGGGCGCCAGCGUUGA
Molecule: non-coding RNA, 441 nt
Organism: Phyllopteryx taeniolatus (common seadragon)
Lineage: Eukaryota; Metazoa; Chordata; Actinopteri; Syngnathiformes; Syngnathidae
Source: the annotation of a RefSeq genome assembly